RNAcentral lists this small nuclear RNA (197 nucleotides) under Xenopus laevis (African clawed frog). RNAcentral describes it as "U2 spliceosomal RNA". It matches the Rfam family "U2 spliceosomal RNA". From Rfam's summary of the family: U2 is a small nuclear RNA (snRNA) component of the spliceosome (involved in pre-mRNA splicing). Complementary binding between U2 snRNA (in an area lying towards the 5' end but 3' to hairpin I) and the branchpoint sequence (BPS) of the intron results the bulging out of an unpaired adenosine, on the BPS, which initiates a nucleophilic attack at the intronic 5' splice site, thus starting the first of two transesterification reactions that mediate splicing. Lineage: Eukaryota; Metazoa; Chordata; Amphibia; Anura; Pipidae. The record is from Rfam by way of RNAcentral.
UUUUUUGUCUUGGUGUUUGUUACAAUAAAAGAAUUAAAAAAAAAUCUGUUCUUAUCAGUUUAAUAUCUGAUACGUCCCCUAUCUGGGGACCAUAUAUUAAAUGGAUUUUUGGAACAGGGAGAUGGAAGAAGAGCUUGCUCUGUCCACUCCACGCAUCGACCUGGUAUUGCAGUACCUCCAGGACCGGUGCACUUCUC